Molecule: ribosomal RNA, 1155 nt
Filed under: Levilactobacillus brevis
Lineage: Bacteria; Bacillati; Bacillota; Bacilli; Lactobacillales; Lactobacillaceae
Description: bacterial SSU rRNA
Rfam family: Bacterial small subunit ribosomal RNA
Source: RNAcentral
UACAUGCAGUCGAACGAGCUUCCGUUGAAUGACGUGCUUGCACUGAUUUCAACAAUGAAGCGAGUGGCGAACUGGUGAGUAACACGUGGGAAAUCUGCCCAGAAGCAGGGGAUAACACUUGGAAACAGGUGCUAAUACCGUAUAACAACAAAAUCCGCAUGGAUUUUGUUUGAAAGGUGGCUUCGGCUAUCACUUCUGGAUGAUCCCGCGGCGUAUUAGUUAGUUGGUGAGGUAAAGGCCCACCAAGACGAUGAUACGUAGCCGACCUGAGAGGGUAAUCGGCCACAUUGGGACUGAGACACGGCCCAAACUCCUACGGGAGGCAGCAGUAGGGAAUCUUCCACAAUGGACGAAAGUCUGAUGGAGCAAUGCCGCGUGAGUGAAGAAGGGUUUCGGCUCGUAAAACUCUGUUGUUAAAGAAGAACACCUUUGAGAGUAACUGUUCAAGGGUUGACGGUAUUUAACCAGAAAGCCACGGCUAACUACGUGCCAGCAGCCGCGGUAAUACGUAGGUGGCAAGCGUUGUCCGGAUUUAUUGGGCGUAAAGCGAGCGCAGGCGGUUUUUUAAGUCUGAUGUGAAAGCCUUCGGCUUAACCGGAGAAGUGCAUCGGAAACUGGGAGACUUGAGUGCAGAAGAGGACAGUGGAACUCCAUGUGUAGCGGUGGAAUGCGUAGAUAUAUGGAAGAACACCAGUGGCGAAGGCGGCUGUCUAGUCUGUAACUGACGCUGAGGCUCGAAAGCAUGGGUAGCGAACAGGAUUAGAUACCCUGGUAGUCCAUGCCGUAAACGAUGAGUGCUAAGUGUUGGAGGGUUUCCGCCCUUCAGUGCUGCAGCUAACGCAUUAAGCACUCCGCCUGGGGAGUACGACCGCAAGGUUGAAACUCAAAGGAAUUGACGGGGGCCCGCACAAGCGGUGGAGCAUGUGGUUUAAUUCGAAGCUACGCGAAGAACCUUACCAGGUCUUGACAUCUUCUGCCAAUCUUAGAGAUAAGACGUUCCCUUCGGGGACAGAAUGACAGGUGGUGCAUGGUUGUCGUCAGCUCGUGUCGUGAGAUGUUGGGUUAAGUCCCGCAACGAGCGCAACCCUUAUUAUCAGUUGCCAGCAUUCAGUUGGGCACUCUGGUGAGACUGCCGGUGACAAACCGGAGGAAAGG